Molecule: long non-coding RNA, 488 nt
Filed under: Eucalyptus grandis
Lineage: Eukaryota; Viridiplantae; Streptophyta; Magnoliopsida; Myrtales; Myrtaceae
Description: long non-coding RNA (EGRA_LNC005572)
Source: RNAcentral
UUCCCCUUUCUGCUUGCUUCGCCCACCAGCCAACGUCUCUCUCUCCUCACUCCUUCUUCUUCGCGUGUUCAACUUUCACCGAGUCUUCUGCUUCUAUUUUAUUUUAUUCCUUGCACAUUCUCUGCCCCCACUAAACUCCCUCCGAAUCUGCUGGCCCCUUCUCCUCACUGUUCCCUCUACCAAAUCCAACUGCACCCCUGCAUUUCAUUCUCCCUUGAGUCAACCCACAAACCCAAUAGUUUCUUCAACGGCCCAUCUGCUUCAGCGUCCAGCCCAGCGCCUGCAAGUCUUCGCCCCAUCUCCACAUGUCUACACUUCAACUUUCACCAAGUCAAUGCCAUCAGCUCCUUCCAUCUUCACAUGCGGCUCCUCUCCAGCAAUCAAACCCCACCAAAGCAGCCCCUUGCGUCUUCCCUCUCCAUCGAAGCAGCGAGACCAACUCAACCGUGAGCUUCCUUCACCAUUUUCGACCUGGUCCAAGCUUCCGU